Molecule: ribosomal RNA, 905 nt
Filed under: Streptomyces sp. 1E14
Lineage: Bacteria; Bacillati; Actinomycetota; Actinomycetes; Kitasatosporales; Streptomycetaceae
Description: bacterial SSU rRNA
Rfam family: Bacterial small subunit ribosomal RNA
Source: RNAcentral
GCUUACACAUGCAAGUCGAACGAUGAACCUCCUUCGGGAGGGGAUUAGUGGCGAACGGGUGAGUAACACGUGGGCAAUCUGCCCUGCACUCUGGGACAAGCCCUGGAAACGGGGUCUAAUACCGGAUACUGACCCGCUUGGGCAUCCAAGCGGUUCGAAAGCUCCGGCGGUGCAGGAUGAGCCCGCGGCCUAUCAGCUUGUUGGUGAGGUAAUGGCUCACCAAGGCGACGACGGGUAGCCGGCCUGAGAGGGCGACCGGCCACACUGGGACUGAGACACGGCCCAGACUCCUACGGGAGGCAGCAGUGGGGAAUAUUGCACAAUGGGCGAAAGCCUGAUGCAGCGACGCCGCGUGAGGGAUGACGGCCUUCGGGUUGUAAACCUCUUUCAGCAGGGAAGAAGCGAAAGUGACGGUACCUGCAGAAGAAGCGCCGGCUAACUACGUGCCAGCAGCCGCGGUAAUACGUAGGGCGCGAGCGUUGUCCGGAAUUAUUGGGCGUAAAGAGCUCGUAGGCGGCUUGUCACGUCGGUUGUGAAAGCCCGGGGCUUAACCCCGGGUCUGCAGUCGAUACGGGCAGGCUAGAGUUCGGUAGGGGAGAUCGGAAUUCCUGGUGUAGCGGUGAAAUGCGCAGAUAUCAGGAGGAACACCGGUGGCGAAGGCGGAUCUCUGGGCCGAUACUGACGCUGAGGAGCGAAAGCGUGGGGAGCGAACAGGAUUAGAUACCCUGGUAGUCCACGCCGUAAACGGUGGGCACUAGGUGUGGGCGACAUUCCACGUCGUCCGUGCCGCAGCUAACGCAUUAAGUGCCCCGCCUGGGGAGUACGGCCGCAAGGCUAAAACUCAAAGGAAUUGACGGGGCCCGCACAAGGCGGCGGAGCAUGUGGUUAAAUUUCGACGCAACGCG